Molecule: long non-coding RNA, 2028 nt
Filed under: Marmota monax (woodchuck)
Lineage: Eukaryota; Metazoa; Chordata; Mammalia; Rodentia; Sciuridae
Source: RNAcentral
GUUUAAUGACAUCCAAAUGAUGAACAGGAUGCCUGGAAAAUUAGAUAUUUGUAGACAUUAAUCCUUAAAACCCUCAGGAAAACCAAAAAAUAACCUAUUACUUAUUCCAAGGUAUCUGAGAUUGUACAAAGCCUUAACAAAAGUUCCAAUAUUUUUAUGGAGGAACUCAAGAAGGCAAAGAGGAAAACACACCACUGUGGAUCUUGAAUCUACAGAGGGCCACCUACCAUUAAAAGAUAAAUUUAGGGCUGGGGUUGUGACUCAGUUGUGGAGUGUGUGCCUAGUAUGUGUGAGGCACUGGGUUCAGUCUUCACCGCAUAAAAAUAAAGGUUGUGUCCAUCUUUAACUAAAAAAAUUUUUUAAAAAAAUUUAAAUUUAUCAUUGCCAGCCCCAUUCGGUGAAAAUUACAAAAAUUGGCAUAAGGCCCUCAUCAAUCCGCAGAUGAUAUCCUCCAAAUUGCAGCUUCCAUGUUUUCUAACAAAGAUCAGGAGGAAAAGAAGGAAAGGGAGCCUGAUACAUGAAAAAGGUUGCGGCACUGGUCAUGGCCCUAAGAGCUUCCCAGAUAAGAGGGGAGAAGAACAGAAUGAAUCUUCAGCCACAAAAGGGAUUUGUUUCCAUUUUUAAAAGAAAUGCCCACAGGCCAAAUGGCCAUCUAUGGAGCCCAUCCGCAAUGUCAAGGCAAUCAUUGGAGGAAUAAAUAUCUGCAGAUGUCCUCCAAGGUGUGGGUUCUUGAGGCCGGAUUCCUCCACACGGGCCUGAUGAGGCUUAGAGUGGAUUCUAAUGGCUGCCAUAACUCAUCACCAUGCAUGAGCCCUGGAUAUGGUUCUGCAUAGAGAGUGAAGAGGUCAGUUUCCUCUUGGAUACUGGCACUUUUCUGUACUCACCUAUUACCCUAGAUCUUUUUCCUCUAAUACUAUUAUGGUGCAAGGGAUGUCUGGACAGCCUUUUACCAGAAAAUUUAUUCUCCCAAUAAGUUGAGUGGGAUGAUAUGAUGUUUUCUCAUGCAUUCCUGAUAGUCCCUGAGUGCCCUACCCUUUCAUUGGCAAGGGAUUUAUUUUCAAAGCUCCAGGCUUCCAUCAUGAUGAGUUUAGGAUCACCAUGUUUACCUGUAUCAGAAUGCAAAAUAAACCCUGAAAUAUGGAUCACCGAAGGCAAGAUUGGAUGGGCAAAAAGUGCAGUCCCAGUUAAAAUAGUCUUAAAGGAUCCCUCUUUCUUCAUCAGACACAAUACUCCUGCACCCAGAGGCAAGAAGGGCUUAUUGGAGAUCCUUUAGAACCUCAAAGGGCAGGGACUUCUAGUAUCCAGCAAUACCCCAUGAACUACACCCAUCUUAGGAGUUUAGAAGUCAAACAGGGAAUGGUGCCUAGUCUAAGACCUUAGAAUGAUUAAUGAAGCAGUCAUUCUCUACCCUGUAGAUCCUAACCCAUAUACUCUGUUAUCUGAGAUCCCAGCUGCUGCUGCUUGGUUUACUGUAUUAGAUUUAAAGGAUGCCAUUUUGUAUAUACCCCCAGACUCUGAAUCACAGUGUUGUUUUGCCUACAAGGAAAAAGACAGUGGAUCUCCUUUAGCCUGGACAGUGUUGUCUUGGGGAUUUAAAGGUAGUCCUCACUUAUUUGGACAAACCCUAGCCAAGAAUUGAGAAAAGGUCAUCUUGGUGGUUCUCCAAUAUGUAGAUGAAACAUCCUGUGUGCCACCACUCAGGAGGAAUUUCAAAAGGCCACUACAGAACUCCUAAACUUUGUAGCUGGUAGAGGUUUUAAGGUCUCAAAAAGGAAAGCUCAGUAGUGACAACAUCAAGUUCAAUACUUAGGAUUACAGAUGUCUCAUUGAAUCUUCAACCUAGAAAAGGAGAGGAGAACCCCCAUAGGGCCAUAUUCUCCACCCCCAGACAGGAAGGCAAUGUAGAGUCUUCUUAGAAAUAACUGGCUUGGGGCUGGGGAUGUGGCUCAAGUGGUAGUGCACUCGCCUGGCAUGCGUGCAGCCCGGGUUUGAUCCUCAGCACCACAUUCCAACAAAGAUGUGUCUGCC